UUGAACGCUGGCGGCAGGCCUAACACAUGCAAGUCGAGCGGAUGAAGGGAGCUUGCUCCUGGCUUCAGCGGCGGACGGGUGAGUAAUGCCUAGGAAUCUGCCUGGUAGUGGGGGAUAACGUCCGGAAACGGGCGCUAAUACCGCAUGCGUCCUGAGGGAGAAAGUGGGGGAUCUUCGGACCUCACGCUAUCAGAUGAGCCUAGGUCGGAUUAGCUAGUUGGUGGGGUAAAGGCCUACCAAGGCGACGAUCCGUAACUGGUCUGAGAGGAUGAUCAGUCACACUGGAACUGAGACACGGUCCAGACUCCUACGGGAGGCAGCAGUGGGGAAUAUUGGACAAAGGGCGAAAGCCUGAUCCAGCCAUGCCGCGUGUGUGAAGAAGGUCUUCGGAUUGUAAAGCACUUUAAGUUGGGAGGAAGGGCAGUAAGUUAAUACCUUGCUGUUUUGACGUUACCAACAGAAUAAGCACCGGCUAACUUCGUG
Molecule: ribosomal RNA, 483 nt
Filed under: uncultured bacterium
Lineage: Bacteria
Description: partial 16S ribosomal RNA
Rfam family: Bacterial small subunit ribosomal RNA
Source: RNAcentral